UGUNUCAUGGGGGCACCCGAUGGCUCGACCCGCGUGGGGGAUGAAGGUCUUCGGAUUGUAACUCCUGUCAUUGGGGACUAAUGGCCAGGCUCAUACCCUGGUUUGAAUUAACCCAAAGAGGAAGCAGUGGCUAACUCUGUGCCAGCAGCCGCGGUAAUACAGAGACUGCAAGCGUUACUCGGAUUCACUGGGCGUAAAGGGAGCGCAGGCGGACUCGUGUGUCGGACGUGAAAUACCGGGGCUUAACCCCGGUGCUGCGUCCGAAACUACGAGUCUAGAGACUUGGAGGGGUAAGCGGAAUUCUUGGUGGAGCAGUGAAAUGCGUAGAUAUCAAGAGGAACACCAACGGCGAAGGCAGCUUACUGGACAAGAUCUGACGCUCAGGCUCGAAAGCGUGGGGAGCAAAAGGGAUUAGAUACCCCUGUAGUCCACGCUGUAAACGGUGCGCAUUAGGUCUUGGAGCUUUCGAACGCUCCAGGGCUCAGGCUAACGCAUUAAAUGCGCCGCCUGAGGACUACGGCCGCAAGGCUAAAACUCAAAGGAAUUGACGGGGGCCCGCACAAGCGGUGGAGCAUGUGGCUUAAUUCGAUGCAACGCGAAGAACCUUACCUAGGUUUGACAUGGACGUGGUACCCGGGGCGAAAGCUUUGGGGACCCGCAAUGGAGCGUUCACGGGUGCUGCAUGGCUGUCGUCAGCUCGUGUCGUGAGAUG
Molecule: ribosomal RNA, 712 nt
Filed under: uncultured bacterium
Lineage: Bacteria
Description: bacterial SSU rRNA
Rfam family: Bacterial small subunit ribosomal RNA
Source: RNAcentral